UGGCUCAGUGGUUAAGAGCACUGACUUCUAUUCCAGAGAACCUGGGUUCAAUUCCCAG
RNAcentral lists this transfer RNA (58 nucleotides) under Cricetulus griseus (Chinese hamster). It matches the Rfam family "tRNA", at positions 8 to 63 of the family's 71-position model. Rfam says of the family: Transfer RNA (tRNA) molecules are approximately 80 nucleotides in length. Their secondary structure includes four short double-helical elements and three loops (D, anti-codon, and T loops). Lineage: Eukaryota; Metazoa; Chordata; Mammalia; Rodentia; Cricetidae. The record is from Rfam by way of RNAcentral.